AGAGGGAGCGGAUGCGAUCGCUUCGGGAAUACCGAAGAGGAAAGUCCGGGCUCCGUAGAGCAGGAUGGUCGAUAACGUCGACCGGCCGCAAGGCUAGGGAAAGUGCAACAGAGAGCAGACCGCUGAGGUGACUCAGCAAGGGUGAAACGGUGGGGUAAGAGCCCACCAGAGCGGGCGGUGACGUCCGUUGCUAGGCAAACCCCAUCCGGAGCAAGACCAAACAGGAAGCCGGCCGCAAGGUCAUGCGUUGGCUCGACGCUCGUCGCUUUCGGGUAGGUCGCUCGACGUGCCGAGCAAUCGGCACGCUAGAUAAAUGAUCGCAGCGCAAGCAACAGAACCCGGCUUACGAGCUCCCUCGCAGC
RNAcentral lists this RNase P RNA (362 nucleotides) under Pirellula sp. SH-Sr6A. RNAcentral describes it as "Bacterial RNase P class A". It matches the Rfam family "Bacterial RNase P class A". From Rfam's summary of the family: Ribonuclease P (RNase P) is a ubiquitous endoribonuclease, found in archaea, bacteria and eukarya as well as chloroplasts and mitochondria. Its best characterised activity is the generation of mature 5'-ends of tRNAs by cleaving the 5'-leader elements of precursor-tRNAs. The record is from Rfam by way of RNAcentral. Lineage: Bacteria; Pseudomonadati; Planctomycetota; Planctomycetia; Pirellulales; Pirellulaceae.